UUUUAUUGUCAGUAAUUGUUAAGAGCAUUUUUUUAUUUGUACCUUAUCAACAGGAGAAAAAACUGCGUACAUCUAAUUUUAAUGACAUUAACAGUUGCUGUAGGUUGGGGUAGAGGAUAGGAGAUAGGGGGAUGCAGAAAGUACACAGAAGCAAACAAACAUCAGGAAUACUAGGAGAGGAAGGAGGGCUAAAUACCACAAUGGCAACAGAAAAAAUACACCGUAACACUUUAUCAAACAGAUGCAACAUGAUUUGUUGAGUUUCCUUUUUUUAAGUUUGUUUAUAUGAAAUGUAUUUUUUUUAUGCAUUUUCCCCCUUUAUUUCCCCACCCUAAAUGUUUUACACAAAACAAACCUAGCAUCUACAAGUGAACUGUAAAGACACAGGGUCCAGAGUUCCACAGCUGCUUCCUAAAUUGAAUAUUUAAAUAAUAGUCAUAGUUUCAUUCACAAUAUGGUUCAGACAACUGCAAGCCCUCUUGAGUGCAUUCUCAGCCUGCUCUGAGUGCCUUGGGGUGUUCAUCAAACACUAUGGACUAAAAUAUCUUACAGCCAUCCAAUGCCUACUGUAGCUAGCAUUGGUGAAUGGAUCGUGAUCACAGCUUCUGUGAGCUUUCAGCUACAUCAAAGUUUCUUUUGAACUGAGAUUUGUGAGAUGAGAAUCACUGCAGUAUCCUCUUAAACUUAAUCAGGACUGGCAAACCAGCCUUCUAGAAGAAAAACUCCCAGAGAGAACUCAUGAGAGUAGCAUUAUUUAGUACUCUGUAAGUAAAAUAUAUUUUAUAAUCAGAAAUAUGUCAUGUGUAUCUGAGAAUUGUAUUAUGGCAUUGCCAUUGCCAUUGAGAUUUUGUGUUUGGACUCUUAAUAUGAAACUACCCUUCCCAGACUCACCUGCGUGUGACGAGGAUUCACGGGAGAGAUGUGUGAGUGACAGAGAAGUGAAGUAAUGGAGAUGUAGCCUAAUGUGUUAUGCUACUAAAGUAUGUGCUGCUGCAACUUGGAAUGACUCAACUAUAAAAAAUAUCUUGAUUGUAACCUGACUCUUUAUCAUCGAAAUCCACGGGCUCUUUGGACAAGGUGAUAGAUAGUUAAGUAAAAUAAUUAUGGUUACAUUUAAUACUCUGUAAGUAAAAUAAGCCUUGUUCGAGCCAGAAUGGCCCAUAUGGGCAGGAGCCUAACUCCUGUUUCUGUAGUGUGAGGCAGCUUGAUGUACAAGUACACCCCCUGGACAGGAAGCUAGUCUGCCACAGGGCCUUUAGUACUCUAUUGCAGGCCUGAAAGAUGCACUUCUUAACAAUAUCAGCACAGUUGUCUGAAGUCAACUUCAACAAGAAUAACAUACUAGUCAACUAAUAUCUACAAAAAACAUGAAGAAGUGUUCAUAUCUUUAUCCAAUGAUUCAGUAAAUAACUUAUUCAAAUCCCUUUAUUUGAAAUAGAAAAUAGCCUCUUUCCAUAACUAGAAUUGAUACAUGCUCAUCAUACCAUUAUCUAGUGCUUGCAGUAAUGCAAUUGUACAGGUAUAAGUUGUACUUAAAGGACUUAUCACUUUUUUUAAAUUGUUUUUUGAAGAGAUGUUGUUGCUGAC
RNAcentral lists this long non-coding RNA (1587 nucleotides) under Salmo salar (Atlantic salmon). RNAcentral describes it as "lncRNA (ENSSSAG00000082257.1)". The record is from RNAcentral. Lineage: Eukaryota; Metazoa; Chordata; Actinopteri; Salmoniformes; Salmonidae.